AGCAGUGUGGCUCAGUGGAAAGAGCACGAGUUUGGGAGUCAGAGGUCAUGGGUUCAAAUCCUGUCUCUGCCA
Non-coding RNA from Ornithorhynchus anatinus (platypus), 72 nucleotides. NCBI's taxonomy places the organism in Eukaryota, Metazoa, Chordata, Mammalia, Monotremata, Ornithorhynchidae. The record is from Rfam.